This 396-nucleotide ribosomal RNA is filed under the name uncultured bacterium. RNAcentral describes it as "bacterial SSU rRNA". It matches the Rfam family "Bacterial small subunit ribosomal RNA", at positions 359 to 774 of the family's 1533-position model. The record is from RNAcentral.
GAUAUUGCACAAUGGAGGAAACUCUGAUGCAGCGACGCCGCGUGAGGGAAGAAGGUUUUCGGAUUGUAAACCUCUGUCUUCGGUGACGAAAAUGACGGUAGCCGAGGAGGAAGCCACGGCUAACUACGUGCCAGCAGCCGCGGUAAUACGUAGGUGGCAAGCGUUGUCCGGAAUUACUGGGUGUAAAGGGAGCGUAGGCGGGAGUGCAAGUCGGCUGUCUAAACUAUGGGCUCAACCCAUAAUCGCGGCCGAAACUGUACUUCUUGAGUGAAGUAGAGGUAAGCGGAAUUCCUAGUGUAGCGGUGAAAUGCGUAAAUAUUAGGAGGAACACCAGUGGCGAAGGCGGCUUACUGGGCUUUAACUGACGCUGAGGCUCGAAAGCGUGGGUAGCAAACA